RNAcentral lists this ribosomal RNA (301 nucleotides) under uncultured bacterium. Its description in RNAcentral is "partial 16S ribosomal RNA". It matches the Rfam family "Bacterial small subunit ribosomal RNA", at positions 509 to 807 of the family's 1533-position model. The record is from RNAcentral.
CAGCCGCCGCGGGAAUACGUAGGGUGCAAGCGUUAAUCGGAAUUACUGGGCGUAAAGCGUGCGCAGGCGGUUAUAUAAGACAGAUGUGAAAUCCCCGGGCUCAACCUGGGAACUGCAUUUGUGACUGUAUAGCUAGAGUACGGCAGAGGGGGAUGGAAUUCCGCGUGUAGCAGUGAAAUGCGUAGAUAUGCGGAGGAACACCGAUGGCGAAGGCAAUCCCCUAGGCCUGUACUGACGCUCAUGCACGAAAGCGUGGGGAGCAAACAGGAUUAGAUACCCGAGUAGUCCCUGUCUCUUAUAC